RNAcentral lists this ribosomal RNA (774 nucleotides) under uncultured Neocallimastigales. Its description in RNAcentral is "partial large subunit ribosomal RNA". It matches the Rfam family "Eukaryotic large subunit ribosomal RNA", at positions 20 to 644 of the family's 3401-position model. The record is from RNAcentral. Lineage: Eukaryota; Fungi; Neocallimastigomycota; Neocallimastigomycetes; Neocallimastigales.
UACUAGAGUAGCACUCGCAUAUCAAUAAGCGGAGGAAAAGAAACUAACAAGGAUUCCCCUAGUAACGGCGAGUGAAGCGGGAAGAGCUCAAAUUUGAAAUCUUAAAGGGUUUCCCUUUACGAAUUGUAGUUUAAAGAAGUGUUUUCUGUUGAGGUUUUGGUAAAAGUUCUUUGGAAUAGGACAUCAUAGAGGGUGAGAAUCCCGUAUUUGACCUUUACUUUCAACUUUGUGAUACACUUUCAAAGAGUCGGAUUGUUUGGGAAUGCAGUCCAAAAUGGGUGGUAAAUUUCAUCUAAAGCUAAGUAUUGGCGAGAGACCGAUAGCGAACAAGUACCGUGAGGGAAAGAUGAAAAGAACUUUGAAAAGAGAGUUAAACAGUACGUGAAAUUGUCAAAAGGGAAGCGUUUGACACCAGUGUUGUUUUUCUGAAAAUCAAUUAAAGAACUGUUUAUGCUAAGCUGUUUAGACUUUAUCAGCUAUCUGUUUAGUUUUGAGCUUUUCUUUAAUGCACUUUUCAGUUAACAAGUCAACAUCAAUUUCUUUUGCUGUAAAAAAGCUUGAGGAAGGUGGCUUGAGAUUCGUCUUAAGUGUUUAUAGCCUCUUGCCUAUGCAGUCGGAGAGAUUGAGGUCUGCAGCGUAGAUCCUUCGGGGCUAAAUGCAUUUGUGCUAAGUUAUAGCAUUUUAUAGACAACUUGUUGACUAUGAUUUGUCUUGUAGCUUACUCGCUUAUGUUAUUUUACCUACGCUUAGGAUGUUGAACUACUGAGACAUAGA